RNAcentral lists this ribosomal RNA (253 nucleotides) under uncultured bacterium. RNAcentral's name for it is "partial 16S ribosomal RNA". It matches the Rfam family "Bacterial small subunit ribosomal RNA", at positions 524 to 776 of the family's 1533-position model. The record is from RNAcentral.
UACGAAGGGGGCUAGCGUUGCUCGGAAUUACUGGGCGUAAAGCGCACGUAGGCGGAUAUUUAAGUCAGGGGUGAAAUCCCAGAGCUCAACUCUGGAACUGCCUUUGAUACUGGGUAUCUUGAGUAUGGAAGAGGUAAGUGGAAUUGCGAGUGUAGAGGUGAAAUUCGUAGAUAUUCGCAGGAACACCAGUGGCGAAGGCGGCUUACUGGUCCAUUACUGACGCUGAGGUGCGAAAGCGUGGGGAGCAAACAGG